This 497-nucleotide ribosomal RNA is filed under the name uncultured bacterium. RNAcentral describes it as "partial 16S ribosomal RNA". It matches the Rfam family "Bacterial small subunit ribosomal RNA", at positions 28 to 507 of the family's 1533-position model. The record is from RNAcentral.
GAUGAACGCUGGCGGCGUGCCUAAUACAUGCAAGUCGAGCGAACAGACGCGGAGCUUGCUCCUCUGACGUUAGCGGCGGACGGGUGAGUAACACGUGUAUAACCUACCUAUAAGACUGGGAUAACUUCGGGAAACCGGAGCUAAUACCGGAUAAUAUAUUGAACCGCAUGGUUCAAUAGUGAAAGACGGUUUUGCUGUCACUUAUAGCUGGAUCCGCGCUGCAUUAGCUAGUUGGUAAGGUAACGGCUUACCAAGGCAACGAUGCGUAGCCGACCUGAGAGGGUGAUCGGCCACACUGGAACUGAGACACGGUCCAGACUCCUACGGGAGGCAGCAGUAGGGAAUCGUCCGCAAUGGGCGAAAGCCUGACGGAGCAACGCCGCGUGAGUGAUGAAGGUCUUCGGAUCGUAAAACUCUGUUAUUAGGGAAGAACAAAUGUGUAAGUAACUAUGCACGUCUUGACGGUACCUAAUCAGAAAGCCACGGCUAACUACGUG